GGGGAAUCUUCCGCAAUGGACGAAAGUCUGACGGAGCAACGCCGCGUGAACGAUGACGGCCUUCGGGUUGUAAAGUUCUGUUAUACGGGACGAAUGGCGUAGCGGUCAAUACCCGUUACGAGUGACGGUACCGUAAGAGAAAGCCACGGCUAACUACGUGCCAGCAGCCGCGGUAAUACGUAGGUGGCAAGCGUUGUCCGGAAUUAUUGGGCGUAAAGCGAGCGCAGGCGGAAAAAUAAGUCUAAUGUGAAAGCCCUCGGCUUAACCGAGGGACUGCAUCGGAAACUGUUGUUCUUGAGUGCAGAAGAGGAGAGUGGAACUCCAUGUGUAGCGGUGGAAUGCGUAGAUAUAGGGAAGAACACCAGUGGCGAAGGCGGCUCUCUGGUCGGCAACUGACGCUGAGGCUCGAAAGCAUGGGUAGCGAACA
This 427-nucleotide ribosomal RNA is filed under the name uncultured Bacillota bacterium. RNAcentral describes it as "bacterial SSU rRNA". It matches the Rfam family "Bacterial small subunit ribosomal RNA", at positions 356 to 774 of the family's 1533-position model. Lineage: Bacteria; Bacillati; Bacillota. The record is from RNAcentral.